AAAACUAGCCAGCCUUUUGGGUAUGAAACCCAUUUGGGCUAGAGUAGUACUAGGAUGGGUGACCUCCUGGGAAGUCCUCGUGAAAGGGUUUC
Non-coding RNA from Triticum aestivum (bread wheat), 92 nucleotides. The record is from Rfam. Lineage: Eukaryota; Viridiplantae; Streptophyta; Magnoliopsida; Poales; Poaceae.